RNAcentral lists this ribosomal RNA (292 nucleotides) under uncultured bacterium. Its description in RNAcentral is "partial 16S ribosomal RNA". It matches the Rfam family "Bacterial small subunit ribosomal RNA", at positions 505 to 796 of the family's 1533-position model. The record is from RNAcentral.
GUGUCAGCAGCCGCGGUAAUACGGAGGGUGCAAGCGUUGCUCGGAAUCAUUGGGCGUAAAGCGUACGCAGGCUGUUUGUUAAGUCGGGUGUGAAAGCCCGGGGCUCAACCCCGGAACGGCGCCCGAAACUGGCAGGCUUGAAUGCGGGAGAGGGAAGCGGAAUUCCUGGUGUAGAGGUGAAAUUCGUAGAUAUCAGGAGGAACACCGGUGGCGAAAGCGGCUUCCUGGCCCGACAUUGACGCUCAUGUACGAAAGCGUGGGGAGCAAACAGGAUUAGAUACCCGGGUAGUCC